RNAcentral lists this non-coding RNA (193 nucleotides) under Pyrinomonadaceae bacterium. RNAcentral's name for it is "6S RNA". It matches the Rfam family "6S / SsrS RNA". Rfam says of the family: E. coli 6S RNA was the first non coding RNA to be sequenced, but its function was unknown until recently. It consists of 184 nucleotides that fold into an extended hairpin structure with a large single-stranded internal bulge. The record is from RNAcentral. Lineage: Bacteria; Pseudomonadati; Acidobacteriota; Blastocatellia; Blastocatellales; Pyrinomonadaceae.
GUUAUUCUGCGGGGUUCGUCACCGACUUAUGAUGAUUGAGCCAACGUCGUUGAGAAGGGAGACCGAUGCCGUUUUACAUGCCAGUGCGUUCCCUCAUUGUUAGGGAAACGCCAGAGGCUGCGGCUCUUAAAAGGUCACCCACCUGUUUACGCAGGUUCAAUCGCGACGCCGGAACGGCUUCUGCGGAACUCCC